This 393-nucleotide ribosomal RNA is filed under the name uncultured bacterium. RNAcentral's name for it is "bacterial SSU rRNA". It matches the Rfam family "Bacterial small subunit ribosomal RNA", at positions 505 to 898 of the family's 1533-position model. The record is from RNAcentral.
GUGCCAGCAGCCGCGGUAAUACGUAGGCAGCAAGCGUUGUUCGGAAUUACUGGGCGUAAAGGGUGCGUAGGCGGUGUACUAAGUUUGGUGUGAAAUCUCCCGGCUCAACUGGGAGGGUGCGCCGAAAACUGGGACACUCGAGUGUGGGAAAGGAAAGCGGAAUUCCUGGUGUAGCGGUGAAAUGCGUAGAGAUCAGGAGGAACACCUGCGGUGUAGACGGCUUUCUGGACCAUAACUGACGCUGAGGCACGAAAGCGUGGGUAGCAAACAGGAUUAGAUACCCUGGUAGUCCACGCCCUAAACGAUGCAUACUUGGUGUGGGUUCUUCACUGGAUCCGUGCCGGAGCUAACGCGUUAAGUAUGCCGCCUGGGGAGUACGGUCGCAAGGCUGAA